RNAcentral lists this ribosomal RNA (256 nucleotides) under uncultured bacterium. RNAcentral's name for it is "partial 16S ribosomal RNA". It matches the Rfam family "Bacterial small subunit ribosomal RNA", at positions 524 to 776 of the family's 1533-position model. The record is from RNAcentral.
GACGUAGGGCGCGAGCGUUGUCCGGAUUUAUUGGGCGUAAAGAGCUCGUAGGCGGCUUGUCGCGUCGACUGUGAAAUCCCGCGGCUCAACUGCGGGUCUGCAGUCGAUACGGGCAGGCUAGAGUUCGGUAGGGGAGACUGGAAUUCCUGGUGUAGCGGUGAAAAUGCGCAGAUAUCAGGAGGAACACCGAUGGCGAAGGCAGGUCUCUGGGCCGAUACUGACGCUGAGGAGCGAAAAGCGUGGGGGAGCGAACAGG